GAACGCACAUGACUAAGCAUCUCUAACCAUGAUCUAUAAAGCUGUUAAUAGCUGGAUAUUCAAAGGGAGCCCACGUGGCUCUACAUAACCCAUGUGCGUAAGGCCUAAAAUUAAUAUUAUGUGUUGCUUCGACAUCUGGUAAAACCGAGAGGGCCUCAAAUGGCCUCACUGCAAGUUCCCUGCCACGCUCUGCUCCUGCAGGUAGUGAAGCACCACAGGAAAUAAUCUCCAGGGAUGGAGUGAACAAAUCUAAUCUAAACUGUCUGAAGGCACCGUUUCAUUGCAGUAUCAACCCUUCCUUUGCCAAAAUCUUCAGAACAGUUGGCUAUAUACCAUAACGCACUGAGGGUUUGGAGGAGGGGAGAGUAAUUAAGGAAGAGCUAGGUAAUUAAGGAAGAGCUGUGCCACAAGACAAUGACACAUAAACGGAUGGUGAGUCGAUCUGCAACGUGAACUAAUUCAGCAGCAAAUGAUUAUGCCAGAAGGGACUGUGAAAAUGCAAACCUCCAUGGGAACUGGCAGAAAUUCUGUGGAAAGCUUUGGACUUCUGAAGGUCAAAUAUUGAAGUGCUGAACAUUCAGGGUUCCAGAAUCAUCUCAGACUAUUUGGCAGACUGCAGCUGUGACCCAGUGGUACUUCAUAGACUACCUACGAGGAUACAAAAUGGCAACAGUGAAAAUGCAUACAAUAAUGACUCAAUAUUAAAUUUUCUGGAAAUUAAGUCACUCGGUAACCUGGAUGGCCAACACGACUUUUGUGACUUACUGAGGAAA
This is a long non-coding RNA of Homo sapiens (human), 773 nucleotides long. RefSeq lists it as uncharacterized. Lineage: Eukaryota; Metazoa; Chordata; Mammalia; Primates; Hominidae. The transcript has 4 exons. The record is from RefSeq and is a predicted model, not a curated record.